This 474-nucleotide ribosomal RNA is filed under the name Arthrobacter citreus. RNAcentral's name for it is "bacterial SSU rRNA". It matches the Rfam family "Bacterial small subunit ribosomal RNA", at positions 91 to 577 of the family's 1533-position model. Lineage: Bacteria; Bacillati; Actinomycetota; Actinomycetes; Micrococcales; Micrococcaceae. The record is from RNAcentral.
AUUAGUGGCGAACGGGUGAGUAACACGUGAGUAACCUGCCCUUAACUUCGGGAUAAGCCUGGGAAACCGGGUCUAAUACCGGAUACGACGGACCACCGCAUGGCGGUCCGUGGAAAGCUUGAUGCGGUUUUGGAUGGACUCGCGGCCUAUCAGCUAGUUGGUUGGGGUAAUGGCCCACCAAGGCGACGACGGGUAGCCGGCCUGAGAGGGUGACCGGCCACACUGGGACUGAGACACGGCCCAGACUCCUACGGGAGGCAGCAGUGGGGAAUAUUGCACAAUGGGCGAAAGCCUGAUGCAGCGACGCCGCGUGAGGGACGAAGGCCUUCGGGUUGUAAACCUCUUUCAGCAGGGAAGAAGCGAAAGUGACGGUACCUGCAGAAGAAGCGCCGGCUAACUACGUGCCAGCAGCCGCGGUAAUACGUAGGGCGCAAGCGUUAUCCGGAAUUAUUGGGCGUAAAGAGCUCGUAGGCG